RNAcentral lists this long non-coding RNA (1285 nucleotides) under Callithrix jacchus (white-tufted-ear marmoset). RNAcentral describes it as "lncRNA (ENSCJAG00000083533.1)". The record is from RNAcentral. Lineage: Eukaryota; Metazoa; Chordata; Mammalia; Primates; Cebidae.
AUGUUAUAUUAUGUUGUGUUAUGUUAUGUUAUAUUGGGUACCUUUUGUUUUAUGUAUGAACAUCCCCUUUUUCAGGAUCCAUUAUUUGCCACACCUCACCUGAAAUCUACAUGGUUUCCACAGGAGUUACUAUGCCAGAACAAUAUGAUCCCACCUCUUCUCUACAGUUGAAGAAAGUGAUUCAGAACUCUUUCAAGAACUAAAGAGAAAGCAAAACUCCAUGCAGAAAAGAAUGGGAUGGUAAUUUGAAGAGGCAAUGAUAGGCUGAUACUAAGGCUUAGAUGUUUUCAUGGCACAUCUCUCUCCUGCUGCCAUGUGAAGAAGGAUGCGUUUUCUUCCCCUUCAGCCAUGAUGAAAACGCUGCCCAUUGUGUACAGAAUCUCCAUCAUAUCACCCAAACAGAAUCUGCCUGACCAUGUGAACAACAGUUUUGGGGUACAUGAGCAGAGCAUGCAAGACAGUUGCGUAGGUACACACAUGGCAGUGUGCUUUGCUUUUCUUCUCCCCUUCACCCACAUUUGGCAUUUCUCCCCAGGCUAUCCCUCCCCACCUCCCCCUCCCACUGGCCCUCCCCUUUUCCCCCCAAUAGACCCCAGUGUUUAGUACUCCCCUUUCUGUGUCCAUGUGUUCUCAUUUUUCAUCACCCGCCUAUGAGUGAGAAUAUGCGGUGUUUCAUUUUCUGUUCUUGUGUCAGUUUACUGAGGAUGACGUUCUCCAGAUUCAUCCAUGUCCCUACAAACGACACAAACUCAUCAUUUCUGAUUGCUGCAUAAUAUUCCAUGGUGUAUAUGUGCCACAUUUUUCCAAUCCAGUCUAUUAUCAAUGGGCAUUUGGGUUGAUUCCAGGUCCUUGCUAUUGUAAACAGUGCUGCAAUGAACAUUCGUGUACAUGUGUCCUUAUAGUAGAACGAUUUAUAGUCUUUUGGAUAUAUACCCAGUAAUGGGAUUGCUGGCCUUAGAAAUAGAAAUUCCAUUUGACCCAGCAAUCGCAUAGCUGUGUUUUUUAAGAACACUGUGAAUCCUAUCACUCAUGGUGCCUCCUUGUAUUUCAGUUUACACUAGAAAAUGGAGUAGUUGCCAUAAUUUGGUCUACAAAUAUCACCAGUUUUAUUAUAUUUAUUUUAUUUUGAUAAAAAUUAUGCAGCCAUGAUGUGUCUCCUUUUCUCACAGUGUCCUCCCAUAGUCUAAUUGCACAUAAACCGUAAUUCAUUUCAGUGACUUAUAAAUCAGAACAUUCUCAUGCAGUAUAUUUUUCUUCUUAGCAAACACACAUACCCAAACAUAUA